UGGAGCCAGCCACCAGGUCAGACAUGCUGAAUCUUUCCCGUGUCUACCCUUGCCCUCCUUGCCCCCGAUGCACUCACCAGCUACGGAGGAGACCACAACAAUGCUGCCACUGCUCUGCUUCAGCAUGGGCAAGGCGGCGGCACUCAGGACCACGUAGCUG
Molecule: non-coding RNA, 160 nt
Organism: Myodes glareolus (Bank vole)
Lineage: Eukaryota; Metazoa; Chordata; Mammalia; Rodentia; Cricetidae
Source: RefSeq, a predicted model, not a curated record